This is a long non-coding RNA of Colius striatus (speckled mousebird), 1248 nucleotides long. RefSeq lists it as uncharacterized. NCBI's taxonomy places the organism in Eukaryota, Metazoa, Chordata, Aves, Coliiformes, Coliidae. The record is from RefSeq and is a predicted model, not a curated record. The transcript has 3 exons.
GUACAGUCAAAAUGUUUUAGACAUUUGCAAGAAGCUGGAAAGAUGUGCUGAAUUCCUGAAGAAUUUCAAAUGUUCCCAGUGAAUUUGAAAUCUCUUCUGACAUGUUUGCUAAUAUUAAUUAAAUGAUUCAGAAGUAUCCAUGGGGACUAUCUGCCCCCAGAAUAUUGAAAGAAAUACUUGAACAAGGAAACUCUUUCUGUCAUCAUCUGCUCAAAAUGUGACAGAAUGAGCCAGUCCUCAAAGACAGCUCCUGAAGUCCAUUAGGAUUGACACAAUGGGAGUCCCUUGUGACUAAGAGAAAGAAAUUGGGUAUGGACAUGAUUCUGUGUCAUAUAUGGCCACAUAUCCUUCCAGGAAACCUAGCCAAAGUGCUUUUGAGUUCUCUGUUAAAUGCACGUAUUUGGCUUCUAUUCAAGGUUAGCUACGUAUAAUGCGAUUAUUUGUGUUCCAAGCUCUUCACUAAUAUUUAAGAUCUUAUAUCCACAGGACUUAGGGGACAAAGUUGUUAUCAUUUGUCUAAGUCUUCUGUAUGUGAUAUGAAAGCUAUUGCUUGUAUUGUCACAACAUGGAGCAACAGUUUAUGAAUACUCUUCCUCAGAAGAAACUGGUCUGAUGAUCAUUGACUGUAUUGCACUUUGUCAAAGACCCCACCACUUUAACAGCAAUCCCCAUCUGGUGCAUGGAGGACCUUCCGAAGCACUUACUCCGCUACAGGCCCACUUCUGUCAGGUCUAAUUUUUCAAAUAUCAAAGUAAAGAACUAUGCAAAUACAUACUUGUGUUCAAGCUUACUUUAUACUUUCAUAAUUUGUGCAUUUAUAUAGUUUGCUUUAGAACUUUGGGACUUGUUCCUACACUCUGCCAUAGGCCCAUUUGCAACUUUGAACCAUUUUUGUAGAUAAAAGUAUGCUCUUCUAAGUCAGCAAGGAAGGAAUGUUGUUAUCUUACACUAAACAGUAGGAGGUGAGCCUGUGUUUUUGAGAAACUCUAGCUCCUACAGAGUAAAAAAACUUGUUUUAGAUAGCCUGCUUCCAGGUGACUGCACUUACCAUUAAAACUUGCUUUAACCAGUCACAGGGACCCCAGCACUCCUGCUCACCCCUUUUUCCUUUGUGGUUUCUUUUAGUUUGUCACCAAUUAUGCAACCUGAAUUUCCAGAAAAGCCUGACUGUCUUAAAUCAGGAAUUAACAAUCAUGUGUAAGCACAUUUUCAGAAAACAUGCUGUAGAGUUUUGAUUUUUCAAAACAA